This 221-nucleotide long non-coding RNA is filed under the name Lathyrus oleraceus (garden pea). Its description in RNAcentral is "Pisum sativum (pea) long non-coding RNA (PSAT_LNC041787)". Lineage: Eukaryota; Viridiplantae; Streptophyta; Magnoliopsida; Fabales; Fabaceae. The record is from RNAcentral.
AAUUUUACAUAAGAGAAAGUUAGGAAUACAUAGAGUUUCAACGCAAGUCUGGUCUCGUCAGGAUGAAGGAAACAACACUAUGAGGCGUGACAGAAGACAUUGCUUACUAAUUAACAAAUUGCAAGCGAUUGAAAUUUCACAUUUAGGUGUAUCAUUUCUAUCUUCAUGCUUAGGAAUGUGUAACUUAAGAUCUUUCUGUGUUGUGCUUAUUUUACUCAUUA